RNAcentral lists this ribosomal RNA (520 nucleotides) under uncultured Glomus. RNAcentral describes it as "SSU rRNA". It matches the Rfam family "Eukaryotic small subunit ribosomal RNA", at positions 569 to 1086 of the family's 1831-position model. The record is from RNAcentral. Lineage: Eukaryota; Fungi; Glomeromycota; Glomeromycetes; Glomerales; Glomeraceae.
AGCAGCCGCGGUAAUUCCAGCUCCAAUAGCGUAUAUUAAAGUUGUUGCAGUUAAAAAGCUCGUAGUUGAAAUUUCGGGAUCAAUAUGUUGGUCGUGCCUCGGUACGUACUAGCAUAUUGGUUUCUCCUUUCUGAAGAACCAUGAUGUCAUUUAUUUGGUGUCGUGGGGGAAUCAGGACUGUUACUUUGAAAAAAGUUAGAGUGUUUAAAGCAGGCUCACGCUUGAAUACAUUAGCAUGGAAUAAUGAAAUAGGACGUUUGAUUCUAUUUUGUUGGUUUCUAGGAUCGACGUAAUGAUUAAUAGGGAUAGUUAGGGGCAUUAGUAUUCAAUUGUCAGAGGUGAAAUUCUUGGAUUUAUUGAAGACUAACUACUGCGAAAGCAUUUAGCCAAGGGAUGUUUUCAUUAAUCAAGAACGAAAGUUAGGGGAUCGAAGACGAUCAGAUACCGUCGUAGUCUUAACCAUAAACUAUGCCGACUAGGGAUCGGAUGAUGUUAAAUUUUUUAAUGACUCAUUCGGNGC